CUUGUCAAGGCGAUAAUCUUGUGACUCACUGUCACGAGGGAGGCUUCUCUUUCAAGCCAGCCACAAUCGUAAUCCACUCACUCCUGGGUCUGUGCUUGCUCCUGCAGACGGGAGGGCACCUCCUGGCUUUGUUGGUACCUUCAGGAGCACAUCAGAAACUACUGGAUUCAAAUGAGGGUAGUGAGAUCCUGGUGUCCUUUACUAUUGAAUUGUAAAUUCAAUGUGAGCAGCAAUAACGGAUACAUAAACCCAACCUUUUCCCAAAGUAAUCGAAAAAUGUGGAUUAUUUGCACGCCCUCUUCGGUCGUGGAGGCUUAGGCGAAAUGGAUAAACACUGGCAGUGAUUACACGAACGAAAUGGAAAUUGCGGUAUUCCCACGUCGAACGUAUAUAUUUAUACUUCUAACUGCAAAUAGAGGGCUGUGUCCGCCAAGCCAUUAGCACCGCGGGGAAGAAAAGCAGAAGGGGAUGAAGGCGUCGCCUCCCCGGCGGUGAAUUAGCAGCAUCG
This 508-nucleotide long non-coding RNA is filed under the name Junco hyemalis (dark-eyed junco). RNAcentral describes it as "lncRNA (ENSJHYG00000003965.1)". The record is from RNAcentral. Lineage: Eukaryota; Metazoa; Chordata; Aves; Passeriformes; Passerellidae.